UUAACUGAAUAUUGACUAAAGUCUAGCGUUAGGACCUAGGUACAUGAAAUACAAAAGGGCACAAAACUGACCCUUUUACCAAAAAGAAAAGAAAAGGAAGGAAGGAAGGAAGGAAGGAAGGAAGGAAGGAAGGAAGGAAGGAAGGAAGAAACAAACAAAGGAAAGAGGUAGAGAGGGAGGAAGAAUAAAAAGGAAAAUAACUUUUUCCUUUCGAUUUUGGAGAAAAUCAAGCAAAUAAAAAAAAAUGAAACUGAAACUAUUUGCCAACCUUGCUACUUGAUUGAAGCAAUUACAUUAGAAAACUCUUUUUGGAGUUUUCUGUAAGUAAAUAGAUGUGUUUGCAACUAUAGAACAUUUCUAAUACUCUUACAGUUUCAUGUAGCCUAAAAACAGAGAGUAUAACAUAGAUAGUAGACCCUGAGCAGCUUUAGCAAGAAAAAAAAAAGUUGAACAGUAAGGACUGUGCUAUCCAUGUUUCUCUUCCAAAGAGCAAGCUUGAUUAUAACUCUUCAGAUUUGCAAGUUACUCAUCUGAGUAAAGGGGGGAGAUGUAUCAGCCUUCUCUGGCCACAGCUGAGCAGGUGACAGAGCAAACUGGCAGCAGGAAACAUUAACAGAAGGAGCCAGAGAGUUUCCUGCCCAGGCCAACAGAGAGGAGAGGGAAGAAGAGGAAAGAAAAUGGUAACAGAAAUGUUUCUAAUGCCAGAAAUGUAAGAGUGCCUUUGUUAUAAAACACAGGCAUCGAUUUCCUGUUUCCAUAACUUGUGAUUGCUCCUAGCGGCGGGUAUCAUUAUUGCCAUUAUUCAAUCAUGGAACUGAGGCCCAGUGAAUUACGUGACUUAACCAAAGUCUCAGAACUGCAGGUAUCUCCUCCAGGAAUAUAGAAAUAGAAAGCAGGGAAACUAUGUAUACAGUGUCAAGGCAAUAAAAUGCCUCUCUCAGGACCUAAAAGUGGCCCCUGAAAUUGGAUGCAACUACCAGGUAAAGAACAUAAUCUCUAUAAAACUUGAAAAACAUGUAGAGUUCUGUUUUGUAUUUUGAAUAUAAAAUUUACCCUUGUCACUAAUUUUAAUAUCAAAAAUCGUCAUCAAAUUAGAAAUUAAUCUCAUGAUUCACAAAUAAAUAUUUUCUGUUUUAAGAAAGUAUAGUUGCU
RNAcentral lists this long non-coding RNA (1152 nucleotides) under Felis catus (domestic cat). RNAcentral describes it as "lncRNA (ENSFCAG00000043823.2)". Lineage: Eukaryota; Metazoa; Chordata; Mammalia; Carnivora; Felidae. The record is from RNAcentral.